This 440-nucleotide ribosomal RNA is filed under the name marine Metazoa environmental sample. RNAcentral's name for it is "SSU rRNA". It matches the Rfam family "Eukaryotic small subunit ribosomal RNA", at positions 587 to 972 of the family's 1831-position model. The record is from RNAcentral. Lineage: Eukaryota; Metazoa.
AGCUCCAAUAGCAUAUAUUAAAGUUGCUGCAGUUAAAAAGCUCGUAGUUGGAUCUCGGGUGCCCGAAAGGGUUGAAUGCACACCGGCGGUCGUGCUCACGCGCGUACUGCUGGUGGCAGCCCACCUGAGUCGAUUUGCCGGGUUUACUCUUUAUGGGUGACUCGGUGACGUGUCAAAGCGCGAGCCUGGUGCCCUUAACCGGGUGCCGGGUGAGGUCGAUAAUUUUACCUUGAGUAAAUUAGAGUGUUCAAAGCAAGGUUGCUCGAAUAGUUGUGCAUGGAAUAAUGGAACAGGUCUCAGCGCCUUUCCGUUGGUCAGUGGUAGUCAGAGAAAUGAUUAACAGGGACUGCCGGGAGCAUCGGUAUGGCGGGGGGAGAGGUGAAAUUCUUGGAUCCUCGCCAGACCAACAAUAGCGAAAGCAUUUGCCAAGAAUGUCUUCA